GUCCUUGUAGUGCAAUGGAUAGCGCGUUGGACUUCUAAUCCAAAGGUCGGGGGUUCGAAUCCCACCUGGGAUG
RNAcentral lists this transfer RNA (73 nucleotides) under Trichonephila clavata. It matches the Rfam family "tRNA". From Rfam's summary of the family: Transfer RNA (tRNA) molecules are approximately 80 nucleotides in length. Their secondary structure includes four short double-helical elements and three loops (D, anti-codon, and T loops). Further hydrogen bonds mediate the characteristic L-shaped molecular structure. tRNAs have two regions of fundamental functional importance: the anti-codon, which is responsible for specific mRNA codon recognition, and the 3' end, to which the tRNAs corresponding amino acid is attached (by aminoacyl-tRNA synthetases). tRNAs cope with the degeneracy of the genetic code in two manners: having more than one tRNA (with a specific anti-codon) for a particular amino acid; and 'wobble' base-pairing, i.e. permitting non-standard base-pairing at the 3rd anti-codon position. The record is from Rfam by way of RNAcentral. Lineage: Eukaryota; Metazoa; Arthropoda; Arachnida; Araneae; Nephilidae.